GACGAACGCUGGCGGCGUGCUUAACACAUGCAAGUCGAACGGAAAGGCCCUGCUUUUGUGGGGUGCUCGAGUGGCGAACGGGUGAGUAACACGUGAGUAACCUGCCCUUGACUUUGGGGUAACUUCAGGAAACUGGGGCUAAUACCGGAUAGGAGCUCCUGCUGCAUGGUGGGGGGUGGAAAGUUUCGGCGGUUGGGGAUGGACUCGCGGCUUAUCAGCUUGUUGGUGGGGUAGUGGCUUACCAAGGCUUUGACGGGUAGCCGGCCUGAGAGGGUGACCGGCCACAAUGGGACUGAGAUACGGCCCAGACUCCUACGGGAGGCAGAAGUGGGGAAUAUUGCACAGUGGGCGGACGCCUGAUGCAGCAACGCCGCGUGCGGGAUGACGGCCUUCGGGUUGUAAACCGCUUUCGCCUGUGACGAAGCGUGAGUGACGGUAAUGGGUAAAGAAGCACCGGCUAACUACGUG
This 468-nucleotide ribosomal RNA is filed under the name uncultured bacterium. Its description in RNAcentral is "partial 16S ribosomal RNA". It matches the Rfam family "Bacterial small subunit ribosomal RNA", at positions 28 to 507 of the family's 1533-position model. The record is from RNAcentral.